AUGAAUCUUUAGCUGGAUAUAAAAUUCUGGACACUGCUAAAGCACUGUACAGAAAAUGUGGACUCAUCUGCCUAAAAUCUAUCAUCAACUGAUUAACCUUUGCCAGUGACAAUAAUACAGAUGUUAUAGAAAUGGAGAAUGGUGAACAGGCGAAAAUUGACUGCAUAUGAUACUUUUUGCAAGAAGUCCUUCAUGGAAUAAACUACUUGAAACUCCAGGCCCAUGUUCUAAAGGAAUAUUUGAACUGAUAGUUUUAUGGAAGCCAUUCCACAGCCAGUGAUGUAGCAUUUUCAUAUUACCUAUAAGAAAGGUAAACCUUCCAAAUACUGCAUGUUCUCAUUUAGACUGGGAGCUAAGUGAUGAGAAUUCGUGAGCACAAAGAAGGAAACAACAGACACUGCAGUCUACUUGAGGGUGGAGGUUGGGAGGAGGGAGAGGAGCAGGAAAGAUAACUAUUGGGUACUAGGCUUAAUACCUGAGUGAUGAAAUAAUCUGUAAAAAACACUGAUAUAAGGUUACCUACCUGAAGUAAGUUUACCUAUCUAGCAAGCUUUCACAUGUACCCCAAAUCUAAAGUAAAAGUUAAAAAAAGAAUGGAACAUCUUAAAAUUAGGGUUGAAAUUUUUUUAUGGAUAUGGGAGAAGUUGAGUGCCCUAAUGCAAGUCACAACAGUAAUGUUGCUAUUUUCAUUUAUUUUGUUUGCAAAUCUCACACAAUGUAUUUCGAUUUCCCUCUUCCUCUUGCAUUUGUGGUGUCCAAAUAGUCUUCUAAAUUUGUUGUAAAACCCAUUCCAACUAGACUUUAUUGUUCCUUGACUAGGAUGGCAUGCAGUUUUAUGUUUCAGAGCAAGUUGCUUCAAAUUCUGAUUUUGAAAUUUGC
This 879-nucleotide long non-coding RNA is filed under the name Homo sapiens (human). RNAcentral describes it as "HSALNT0019010". Lineage: Eukaryota; Metazoa; Chordata; Mammalia; Primates; Hominidae. The record is from RNAcentral.